GGCGCCGAAAUUGACGGCGAAGAUCUUCUGAUUCGUCAAGUCGUCUCCGGUGCCGAUGAUCGUCUCCUAACCGCCGAGCAACACUUCCAGAACUUCAAACUCAAGUUCGGAAAGACCUACGCCACGGAAGAGGAGCACGAUUACAGAUUCCGUGUCUUCAAGGCUAACCUCCUCAAAGCCAAGCGCCACCAGAAGCUCGAUCCCGACGCUGUCCAUGGCGUCACUCGGUUUUCCGAUCUUACCGAGUCCGAGUUCCGUACAAAUUUCGUCGGAUUGAAUCGGCUUCGUCUUCCUGCUGAUGCUCAGAAGGCUCCGAUCCUUCCUACCGACGACCUAGCCCCCGAUUUCGAUUGGCGCGACCAAGGUGCCGUCACACCGGUCAAAGAUCAGGGUUCCUGUGGCUCGUGUUGGUCUUUUAGUGCCGUUGGAGCGCUGGAGGGAGCUAAUUUCUUGUCAACUGGAAAGCUUGUUAGUCUGAGUGAGCAACAGCUUGUGGAUUGUGAUCAUGAGUGUGAUCCUGAGGAAGCUGGUGCAUGCGACGCAGGGUGCGGCGGGGGGCUAAUGAACUCAGCUUUUGAGUACAUUUUGAAAGCAGGUGGAUUAGAGAAAGAGGAGGACUAUCCUUACACCGGCACCGAUCGUGGCCCUUGCAAAUUCCAAAAUAGCAAAAUUGCUGCUUCCGUAACCAACUUCAGUGUCAUUUCUAAUGAUGCCGAACAAAUUGCAGCAAACUUGGUCAAGAAUGGCCCUCUAGCAAUUGGAAUCAAUGCAG
RNAcentral lists this unclassified non-coding RNA (772 nucleotides) under Hevea brasiliensis (rubber tree). The record is from RNAcentral. Lineage: Eukaryota; Viridiplantae; Streptophyta; Magnoliopsida; Malpighiales; Euphorbiaceae.